UCCUAAAGCGUAACGGAGGCGCACGAAGGUUCCCUCAGGCUGAUUGGAAACCAGCCGUAGAGUGUAAAGGCAUAAGGGAGCUUGACUGCGAGACUGACAAGUCGAGCAGGUGCGAAAGCAGGUCUUAGUGAUCCGGCGGUUCUGGAUGGAAGGGCCGUCGCUCAACGGAUAAAAGGUACUCCGGGGAUAACAGGCUGAUCUCCCCCAAGAGUCCACAUCGACGGGGAGGUUUGGCACCUCGAUGUCGGCUCAUCGCAUCCUGGGGCUGAAGAAGGUCCCAAGGGUUCGGCUGUUCGCCGAUUAAAGCGGUACGUGAGCUGGGUUUAGAACGUCGUGAGACAGUUCGGUCCCUAUCUGACGUGGGCGCAGGAUAUUUGAGGGGAGCUGUCCCUAGUACGAGAGGACCGGGAUGGACGAACCUCUAGUGUGCCAGUUGUCCCGCCAGGGGCAGCGCUGGGUAGCUAUGUUCGGAAGGGAUAACCGCUGAAAGCAUCUAAGUGGGAAGCCCCCCUCGAGAUUAGAUAUCCCUUUCCGGUGGAGACACCGGAGCUAAAGAUCCCUUGUAGACUACAAGGUUGAUAGGCCAGGGGUGUAAGCCCGGUAACGGGUUGAGCUUACUGGUACUAAUGGAUCGUGCGGCUUGGCCAUAAUCUAACAG
This 658-nucleotide ribosomal RNA is filed under the name Pseudomonadota bacterium. Its description in RNAcentral is "Proteobacteria bacterium (sediment metagenome) partial 23S ribosomal RNA". It matches the Rfam family "Bacterial large subunit ribosomal RNA", at positions 2288 to 2925 of the family's 2925-position model. The record is from RNAcentral. Lineage: Bacteria; Pseudomonadati; Pseudomonadota.